Molecule: ribosomal RNA, 1201 nt
Filed under: Rossellomorea oryzaecorticis
Lineage: Bacteria; Bacillati; Bacillota; Bacilli; Caryophanales; Bacillaceae
Description: bacterial SSU rRNA
Rfam family: Bacterial small subunit ribosomal RNA
Source: RNAcentral
GAGCAUGCAGAAGUCUGACGGAGCACGCCGCGUGAGUGAAGAAGGUUUUCGGAUCGUAAAACUCUGUUGUUAGGGAAGAACAAGUGCCGUUCGAAUAGGGCGGCACCUUGACGGUACCUAACCAGAAAGCCACGGCUAACUACGUGCCAGCAGCCGCGGUAAUACGUAGGUGGCAAGCGUUGUCCGGAAUUAUUGGGCGUAAAGCGCGCGCAGGUGGUGUCUUAAGUCUGAUGUGAAAGCCCACGGCUCAACCGUGGAGGGUCAUUGGAAACUGGGGAACUUGAGUGCAGAAGAGGAAAGUGGAAUUCCAAGUGUAGCGGUGAAAUGCGUAGAUAUUUGGAGGAACACCAGUGGCGAAGGCGACUUUCUGGUCUGUAACUGACACUGAGGCGCGAAAGCGUGGGGAGCAAACAGGAUUAGAUACCCUGGUAGUCCACGCGGUAAACGAUGAGUGCUAAGUGUUAGAGGGUUUCCGCCCUUUAGUGCUGCAGCUAACGCAUUAAGCACUCCGCCUGGGGAGUACGGUCGCAAGACUGAAACUCAAAGGAAUUGACGGGGGCCCGCACAAGCGGUGGAGCAUGUGGUUGAAUUCGAAGCAACGCGAAGAACCUUACCAGGUCUUGACAUCCUCUGACAACCCUAGAGAUAGGGCUUUCCCCUUCGGGGGACAGAGUGACAGGUGGUGCAUGGUUGUCGUCAGCUCGUGUCGUGAGAUGUUGGGUUAAGUCUCGCAACGAGCGCAACCCUUGAUCUUAGUUGCCAGCAUUCAGUUGGGCACUCUAAGAUGACUGCCGGUGACAAACCGGAGGAAGGUGGGGAUGACGUCAAAUCAUCAUGCCCCUUAUGACCUGGGCUACACACGUGCUACACUGGACGGUACAAAGGGCAGCGAGACCGCGAGGUUUAGCCAAUCCCAUAAAACCGUUCUCAGUUCGGAUUGCAGGCUGCAACUCGCCUGCAUGAAGCUGGAAUCGCUAGUAAUCGCGGAUCAGCAUGCCGCGGUGAAUACGUCCCCGGGCCUUGACACACCGCCCGUCACACCACGAGAGUUUGUAACACCCGAAGUCGGUGAGGUAACCUUUUGAGCCAGCCGCCUAAGGUGACAGAUGGGUACUCGACGGACGUGAUUUGACGGAAUACGGUUUACCCGGUACUACGGUGUGGACUACUGACUGGGAGGAGGGGGCAGGGAGUAGAGAGA